UCGUAUGAUGAAUGGCACUGGGCUCCGAAAUUUCUUGACGGAUAUGCCUUUUUGUGGCAGGCCUAGAAAACCUCGCCCACUGAUU
RNAcentral lists this small nucleolar RNA (85 nucleotides) under Clohesyomyces aquaticus. RNAcentral describes it as "A. fumigatus snoRNA Afu_513". It matches the Rfam family "A. fumigatus snoRNA Afu_513". Lineage: Eukaryota; Fungi; Ascomycota; Dothideomycetes; Pleosporales; Lindgomycetaceae. The record is from Rfam by way of RNAcentral.